UACAUAUUUAUUAACUACAUUCAAAAAAUUUUUAUUUAAACUCAUUUACUUAUAAAUCCAAUUUCAUAAUUAUUUUUCAAUAAAUAUCCAAAAUUUAAAUUAUUGUAAUACAUUUUAUCUUAUAUAUAACCUGCACCUUGACCUAACUUUUUUAUUUUAUAAUAAUAAAAAAACAUUUUUUUAAAAAAUUUUUUAAGAUGGAGGUAUACAAAAUAUAAUAAUAUAAGUGAAAAUCCUUGGGGUUUAUCAAUUAAAAAACAUAUUCCUCUAAAUUGAAUAAAUACCGCCAAAUUCUUUAACUUUCCUGAACAUAUCAUUUACUAAUCAAAAUUUGUUAAGCUAUCAA
Molecule: ribosomal RNA, 346 nt
Filed under: Haplophallus sp. KY-2002
Lineage: Eukaryota; Metazoa; Arthropoda; Insecta; Psocodea; Philotarsidae
Description: partial 12S ribosomal RNA
Source: RNAcentral